GGGAGCGCCGGGGCCGCAGCGGAGCUGAGGGGGAGCGGCGCCUCAGGGAGCGCCGGGGCCGCAGCGGAGCUGAGGGGGAGCGGCGCCUGCGGGGCUGGAGGAGCCCGAGGGGGCUGAGGGAUCCCAGGCAAUCUGAAGGAGCUGGGGGCUGAGAACUGGAAUUGCCGGGGCUGGAGGAACGGUGUCUGGUGCUGCGGGGCUGAGGGAGCCGGGGGGGUUGGAGGGGUUCAGACGGGGCUGGUGGGGCCCGAGGGGAGCUUGAGGAACGAGGCUGUGGAGGAGCCCCAGGGGCUGUGGAGGAGCCCCAGGGGCUGUAGAGGAGCCCCAGGGGCUGUGGAGGAGCCAUGGGAGGUUUGAGGGAGCCCUUAACUGGUGUGCACUGAGCUCAAGGGUUGCUCUGGGGUAGCUGGAUAAAUGUGGGCUUUGCUAUGCCACCUCCCCCAGCCGUCCCUGUCAGCAGGCAGUUUGAACUCUGUAAAACACAGUUACAAGAGCAAGGAAGAGAGAGGGGGAGGAAAAAAAGCCAUGCGGCUUGUUUUUCCUUAAAGCAUUACCGAUGAUUUGCAUAAUAGAAACAUGCAGGAUCCUUUCUUGCUUUGCCUUUAAACUUGCUGCUGGUAUUUGAACCCAGCAUAUUUUUCUCUAUAUUGUGCUGAAAUAUUCCAGCUGUUUGCAGUUUCCAGGCAGGAUGCUCACACACUGCCUCUGGAUUUGAUAUUCCAUCCCCUCUUCUGAUACUUGUAAAAACUGCUGCCCUGUGACCUGUUUCCCUUCUGACAACAUGAAGAAUUAAAUUAAUACAGACCUUUUCUUUCACAGUUACUCACUGCUUUCAACAUUCCAGACUGUGGUGGAUUGAUUCAGUGCCCCAGCAUACAAGUAUUUAUCAUCUUUGGAGAAGCAGGCACUGCAAAGGCCUAUCAGGAGAGAUGUGGGCUGAAAAUGGAUGGUUGGCAUUAGAUUGUUAUGCUGGUAAAUACAGGGUGAAGUGGAGAUGUUUUUAGAGUUUUCAGUGGUUAUUCAGUGCUUAAGAAUAGAGAUAAUAAAUAAAAGAUUUUUACAGGAGGAUGCUGGAAGGGUAGUGGGAGCCAAAUACAGCUCCUAGGUUAUGAAGCACUCAUAGGUGUGCAGGAAAGAGCCUUGUAGGACAGAGUAAAGCUCUUUAUUCCACCUGUGGAAAGGAGUAGCUCAGACAUAUCCUUGGUGUCUUGUCAGGUGAAAGAAAAUUAGCAGUGAUCCAACCUCCUGCACCACUUUUUCUUUUUUCCUCCUGGAUUCUCCUGAGUGGGCCUAAUUUCUGUUUUCUAUCACUAUUAUUAACCUGAGAAGUCUCAUCCUCUUCCCUGGUUUGUGCCAUGUGUCUCACUCUGGCAACAUGAGCAGAGCCAGCUGUAGACAAAAAACUCCUGUGAGUUUUGUUUCUGUCAGAGCAGAGUUCCCAGCCCUCAGUCACUGCCAGCACCAACACCUGGGUGGUGAAUCCAGCUGUAAGGAUCUUCCCAAAGCAGCCUUGGGUGCUGGGAAAAGCUGGUGCCUGUCAGCUUCUCAGGAUUUGGGUAUCCUUGGGAAUGCUGUGAGCUGGAUCCUGCCUGGCAGCCCGGGGCAGUGAUUAACCAUUGACACUCAGCGUGCUGGUCCCUCAGAAUAGCUCAGCUCAAGUUGCUGCUGACAGAGCUCCAAGAGACCAUUGGCUCCACUGUUUGCCAGGCAGGAGAUCUGCCUUCUGUGACCUUCCAAAGGGAGCCCUUGGGCCCCAGGGCAGUCCUGAAGGACUGAAUCCCUGCUGGCCAUGCUGUAGAUGACACUGCAGUCUCCAAGGAAAUCAGGGCUCUGGGUUCUGAUGGUAUGGGCGGGCCUGUGGAUCGCUGGACGUGGAUCUGCAAGGGCUAAAUCAUCCUGUGCUACAGCAAACUGCUUUUCCUGCCUCGACUGCCAUGUGGUUGAGUGGUUUCUGUGGCUCUGGAGGAAGGAUACCAGUGCUGGAGUUCCUGCUUGGAGUUCAGUGGGAUGACAAAGGCUGUCCCAGAGAUCAGCCCUGUGAAAAGGAGCUGGCUUUGCUCAGAUAUUUACAGCAUCUCACUCAGGCAGAUGUGUUCAGUGUGUCACACCCUUCACCUGUGAAACAAGGAAAUCAGGGAGACUGUUCCUACUCUGUCUGCCCUCAGAUGGGGCUCAUGUUUGGCUUCUUUACUUGUGAAACUGCUUAUUAUUCAUAUUUCAGAUUUUCACCUGUCACAAACUGUUCCAGACAAAAGCUUCAGAGGUAAGAUUAAACAGCUCUCCAAGCCUGAAACAGAUUUCCCAAAAUCUCUUGCUUUAGAGCAGCAGGAAGGAGCAGUCUCUAUCAAACGAUAACAGCCUAAUGCCAGAAGGCAAAACCUUGCCUCCUUACUCUGUUGACAGCACCUGGAGCUGUUCAGCCAUGGGCAUCCUCUGCUCUCAAAGGUGCCUGAUUAGAUCCUGCCCAGUUUGGGCUGUGCUUGCUUUGGCAAGAGAUGGUGAUCCAGAUGUGUGUGUCCCAUCUGGCUCCUGCCCACAGCUGGGUAGCAAGGCAGCUUCUAGGAGUUCACAAUUUAAAACAUUUCAGAAAUGAAAUUGUGUUUCAGGCCUCAGGCACACACUGACAUGAGGCCAGGCCUCUGAAUGGAUAAAGUGCCCUCCAUUCAAGAUCAAAAAUGAAAGGGGAACAGAAAGGCUUGAGGCAGAAAAAACAAGGGUCACCUCUUUAGAAGUGUGGCAGUACUAGAAACAUGUUCAGGACUGCAAAUCCAAGCCCCACACAUGUUGCUGGGGAUCAACCCUUUCCUGAAUGAGGGGCGUGUUCUGUGAGCUGGGUUUGUAAGAGAUGCACUGGUUGGGAAGUUGCCCAGCCUACCUGGACAGAUGCAGGCUGAAAACCAAGGACAAGGCUGUUGCCAGCAGAGAUAACAGCUGUGUGAGCCACCCCUUCAUGUCCUCAGUCUGUCUCCCUUUGGAUCUGUCAGGGAGAAGGUUCCUGGUGACCAGACAUGUUCUGCCUCUUCACAAAGAGAAUUUCACCCCAAAUUUGUUACCCCUUAAGCUCAAGAGUCAAGUAAAACCUGGCCAAUGGGAAAUUCCACAUGCUGACCCCUUUGAAAGGACUCCUGGCAUUUGAGGGAGAAGUUACUGCCAACACUUCCCUAAGGAAUGGGAGCUACUGGAGCUGCAGUGGGAACAGACUCAUCUUUGCCACCAGCACAGAGCAAAUCCUUCUUGAGCAGACUGCCCCCAUCAGAAAAGAUCUGCACAAAAUGUUCAUAGACAUGAAGCCAGAAAAGCUGAGUGAAGUUGAGAGGGAUUAACAGUGAAAUUUGGUCUGGCCACUUGCAAAGCUGUAAAGUGCAGCAGGAUGGAGUUUGCUUUUCCAUUUGGGAGCUGUGGAAGUCUGAGGAGGAUGCUCUGUUUGGAAUGGAGAAGGAAGGUCUGUUGAUUACAGAUCUGUUGUCUGGCUCAUCAAACCUUUGGAUAUUAUAAGAAAUACAAGAAAUACAGUUAAAAAGUUGAACAAAUAAAUGUGUACAAUGGAUAGAGAUCCCCCACUGAAUCCCACUGUCAUCCUGCCUUGCCUCUGGAUCAGAGCACUGGAUAUUGGUGUUUCUCCCUGCAGCCUGACAGCUGAGUUUGGGAUCUCAGCUCACUGGUGCUGCUCUUCCACAGACUCAGAGUUCUUCCCUCAGACACAGUCACAAGCAGCAGCCUGGGGCUGAGCAGUGCAGAAAACAUCCACACAUCUGUCACCUCUCCAGAGGUCUGGGAGAUGAGUUCUGCUGUCCCCAAGUGCCGAGCAUUGACCUAAGAAAGAGGUGGCAAAGGAGACAGGAAUAGCGAGGCCUGAGGUGGUUUUUUUUUUGUCCUCAGCCUGCAAGGCUGUGACUGCAAUGUUGUGGUUCUUUGAGCCCCUUUAAGCUGAAGACUGGCUGUACCUUUGUACUAAGGAAGAACAGAUAAUCCUGUGCCCCACAUCCACAUGAAGGCAGUGUGAGGACUGUUCUUUGCAUAUCCUGGAUAAUAAACCUGGCUCUGCCAGAAAUCAAAUUCCAGAUGUGCAAACUGUGAUCUAUGGCAGCAGAAACAGCACAGGUUCCUUUAUCAAGCAUUUCCACACACCUCACCUGAGCUAUAAAAUAAGAGAGGGGCUCACAAAGGGAGGGAUUCUCAGUGCUUUUGGGAUUUAGGAGAAUGCGUGUGGCUGGGAGAUGUCUGUGUGCCUAAAGCUCCAGGACUGCCAAGCUGUCACAUCUCAGCCAUGAAUCAGCUUUCCAGCCUCAAGAAGUGAGAGAUGCUCAGCAGAGCAUCCAGGAAGGGUGUGAAGCAUCUCAAAAACUCCCAUAUUCCAAACAAUCCUAGAGCCAUCCCAGGGAGCUGCCACCAGCAGCUGGCAAUCAGGACCAAGUGCCAUCACUGUGACACUGGCUGUGACACACAGAGAGGAGGGAGAGGCUGCUCUUGCUGCCACAGACAGAAAAGGGACAUUUUUGAGCUUGUUUAUGUGCUGUGCUUCCCCAGCUGGAACCCCUGGUCCUGUGUGAACCCCGUGGUCUGUGCCAGGAGCAAGAUUAGGUUCCUGCAGACAUAUCUAGGUCAGUGUGUGCUGUUGUUGUCCUGACGACAAAAUGACCCACUUUCCCCUCAUUUGUGGAAGCAGUUGCCAAUGGGGCCGGGGCAUGGCCGAGCACAAAGGCACAGGACCUUCCUCCUGCCUUUGUCUCCAAGCUGGGUUCCUACAGAAACAGAGGUUUUCUCCUCCUUGCUCUGUUUAUUGUGUUUCUUGCAUCUCAUUCAUAACAGAUGGAUAAUUAGAAAUAUUGUCGGGCUGUAUCUGCCCCAGCAAUGAUCCUACCUUUGAGGAUAAGGGAUCCUGUGGGGAUUGUGUGUAGGGCCCCACCUGGAGAAAUCCACACAGUGGGAUGAGCACGGGGUAGGGACAGACCCUGCACAGCUCAGGCACUGCUGGCACAGCUGCCCCAUGAGCUCCAGGUAGGGAGGCACCAAGGCAAGAAGCCUGGCCAACACUUCUGUGUGCGUUAUCCUCAUCCCUGAGAGGGCAGAGACAGAAAAACCUUUUAGAACAUGGCUCUGGUGAGCCUGUGGGAGCAGCCAUAGCUGUAUUUCUGUGAUGUACAAUCUGAAAUGAGGUGAACUGGCCUGAUCUGGUAAUAUAGGGAUGGCUCCAGUGUAAAACCUGGGAAAUGUAAUGGUGUGGAUUUUUCCCUGAGGAAGGAGUGGGUAUUCCACUGCCCUGUCCUCUGGUUUGCUUUAAAGCUGCAAGGGAAUCCAGAUGGCUGACAGUGCAUGAAUCUUUUUACGAAUCCCAGAAUAGAUAAAUUAGUCACUGUUUUUAAUUCCUUGUAAAAGUGCUUUUACUUGCAAAGGAAAAAUCCAGUUCUUUCCCAAGAUGAACACUUGUGUCCCACUGUUGUCCCUGAGAUGGGUGUUACCCUCAGGGCUGUGUGUACAGGGGGCUGCAGGUUCAGCACACAUGGCAAAACCAUCAGCAACACUCUCCAUUCCAGAGGCAGUUAUUUUACAGCAGAUCCAGUUCAUGUUCCCUGCAGGGAGAAACGCUAUUAGAGCAGAGAACAUCAGCCCUGAGAAUGCACCGUUAUUCUGAAAAGACUGAGGUAAAAAAAUGCUGGUUUGGGGAAGGAAGGGAUGGAUGGAAGGAUGAACAGCCAGCCACUUGAAGGGGAACUGGGGAACUGCUUUGCUGGGGAUGUGGAGGGCUCCCAUUGUCACAGUUCCUUCUGUAACCUUUUAAACAUUCUGUAGUUUGGGUUUUUUCUAAAUUCAGCAGAUUUUUAAAUAUGCUUUCUUCUUGAUGUUUAGAGUAUCUGGAUCAUUCUUUCAGCUGCUAAGGGAGUGUGGUGAUAAUUUUGGGAUAACAGUUUGUAGAGUUAGCUUAUUUCUCUUUCCAAGUUUCCUUCUCACAGCCCAGCAGAAAGGGUGUGAUCCUUACCCGUGGCUGUAAGCAUGAAGCAAAGUACACCUCUGUGCUCCCCUUCUCCUUACGCAGCACAUCCCUUUUUACUUUUUUUUUAACUCAAUUCUUCAAUUAGUGGUAAUUCACUCAACUUCCUCAGGUUUGGGACAGUGUCAGAGAACCAGAGUGGCUGAGGGGUGACCUGGGAGCAAUCAGAGCAGUGGGUUUGAAACGUGGUGUGUGGAUUGAUCUGUUUGUUUUCACAACCUCAGGGCCAGACACCCAGCUCCUGCUUCAGAGACAGCACUUCCAGGGCUUCCAUUGUUUUCCUGUUAGCAGGAAAUGUUUUUCCUGACUAAAUUUCUCUUGCUGCAAUCUAAGGCAGGCUGCCUUUCUGCAGAGGAAUAAUAAAUUACUUCCUCCCUUGCUGCAGUAGCAUUUUACAUGUGUGAAGAGUGAAUGACAGAGUCUGUAAAACUUCUUUAGAUCUCCUUGGUUGUGGAUACUAGUUUAAAGAAUAUAUGUAUCUUGAUCAUUGGAAGCACUGAAUAGAGUUAGUUACUAUUAUUUCCAUCGUAUUUUGAUUUCAGACCCUGUCCAGCAGCCUGGAAAACACAGAGCUCUAUUCCAGAGUUUACAGGUGUACAGAAAAACCUGUGUUUCCUCAGGACCAGAGCUGUGUGGUGGCCCAGCUCCUGCAGAAGCUGCCCUGGCUCCUCAAUGAUCUGUCCUCAGCACUGAAGAUUCCCUAAAACCUGGUGAUCUGUAACAUCAGUGAACUGCUCACUAAAUUGUUUCAGGCUCAACUUUGAUCACUAAAUCACCAAAACCUCAAAUUGCUAAAACUAGCACUGACCAGCUUCAAUAAACAGAGCCAAAGGAUGCUGAAGCUUGAAUAUCUGAGAUCUUAAACUUAUGGCACUUCAAGGACUUUGGAGCAACCAGAAGAUACAGAGGAAAUCAAGGCCUGGAAAGCUCUCCCCAUGUGAGCAAGAGAUAAUAAAAGGACAAAAGAAUGUGGACCAAAAUUAACAUGAGGAGUGAGAAAUCAAUAGCCAAUAGAGGAUAGCAUACUAAUUAACAAAGAGAAUUAUGUAACUUGGAACCAAUGAAGAUUGAUUUUUUUGUUUGCUAAAAAUAAGUGACAAAGUUUUGUAUCAGGGACUGUGUGGAGGCUAGAGCUUUGUCAGCCACACACACAAACCCUGGACAGGAAUAAAGUAAUUCCUGAUUCACUGACACUAAAAAGGCACUGUUAGGGGGGUUUGUUUAUCCCAAGGAUUUGGGAAACACAGAGAUAGCUGGGACGGGGGCUGGAUGCUGCCUAUUCACCUGGGAUUGCCAGGGAGGCUCAGAAAACUUGCUGGUAAUUACAGCAUCCUUGUGGCUUCCCUGCUGGGUGGGGACAGGACCCAGCCUGACCCGUGCCCAAGGACAGGUACAUUUCCAUAGGUGGAAGUGAGGCAGUGAAAGCAGGAUUGGUUUGGGGGCUCUGGCCAGUGAUGCUGGGAGAUUGGCUCUGGGGUGGAGAAGAACCAUGGGCUGAGCCUGGGGAUUUUGGUUGGAACUGAAGCCUGGCCUGGGAAAGGCUGAGAUCCUGGGAAGGGCCAGCAUCCACUGUCCACAGAGCCUGGAGACACAGAAUGAGCUCUAAGUGCAAACCCACAGUGCAACCUUUGAGCGGGGCCUGGCAGGGGACAGGGAGCACAGGGACCUUGGUGGGUGGCUCUGCUGGGAGCUGUGUGAGGAACACACAGCCCCAGUGUCCCCUGUGGGUGUCACCUGCCUGUGGGACAGGCUCUGUGGGGCUGGGGGGACAGUGCUCAGCCGUACAGGGCUCAGCUGCAGCAGUGCUGGCUCAGCUGUCCCCUCUGUGCCUCUCUUGCUAACCUCUGGUGCAAGUGAUUCAAGAGAAAUCACACAAACUUACACAAAUACUCAAUGGGUUAUUUAUUUACUUGUGCCUUCAGGUAUACCCCCUGAGACUUUGUGUGUUUAUUCUCUUGGUUCAGCAAAACUUUCUCCCUUUCUAAAGCCAAAACAACCUGAGGAAGCCACCUGGCACUUCUGCAGAUGUCUGAGCCUUCACUUGUGCAAGGCUUAAAGCUCUGGGUGUGGAUUUCUCUUCAGGGCUGUCACCAAAGUGCUUCAAGGACACUGAUCUGGGCUGGGGAGCUCUCAGGGCUUAGGAGGAGUGAGCAGAGGAUUUAAGGCAGAAGCAGGGAGCUGGUGCCAGCCUGCAGAAUGACACCCUGCUCUGUCCCUGCUGGUUGCUAUGGCAUUUUCAUUUCUGCUUCUUUGCAAGGGGGAUUUGUGUUUUUUCCCUGGUUACUGAGCAAAUCUUGAUAGUGUGGAGGACUAGUCACUACUAAUGUAAAAACAGUGAUAGGGGAAAAAUUAAGUUUAAUUUUUAGAUGGGUCUGAACAUCAGCAGUAGAAAAUCACAGAAUGGCUUGGGUUGGAAGGGACCUUAAAGAUAAUCCCAUUCCAACCCCCUCACAUGGGCAAGGACGUGCAACUCCAAUUGCCAGAACUCAGCAAGAGACACUGAGAUAUUCAAAAUCUCUUGCUAAGGAUUUCUCCUGUAAGGAUCCUGGGAAUUUUGGGCCAUGGAUGACCCAGUAAACAACUUGGUCUUUCAGGAUAAGGAACCUCAUGACUGCAGGUUAUUUGCUGCAUUAUUUCACACCUAUAUUCUGCCACAGAAGGAUCCCCCAUGUUCCAAUAGCCUCUUAUGCUAGAAAUUCUGUGCAAAUUAGUGUAAUUAGGAUUAAAUUACCCCUGAAGUAUAUCCAGUGGAAUUUAUACAUGGCACUUUUUUUCCAGUUGAAUACAGAAAUGAAAGGAUGAUAUAAACCCUGAUGUCCAGGUGUUUGAAGGCGAUGAUCCACCUAAACUAAGCCUUGAAAUCCAGACAAGUCAAUCAUACAAAUACACUUUAUUCAAAAGUUGGGACAGGAAGUUGGUACAGCAGUAUUUGACUUCUGAGGAGAUGGAAAAUCUAUGAGCAUUUUGGGAGUAUUUUUUGGUCCAUCACACACAUUUUGAUGGCCUUUGGACAGGACAGAAAGAAGUGAUUUACCUCAAGCAUUGGCCCCGUGCCUCUGGAUACGCCUCCCCCAGGAGGGCAUCUCUCUCCACAGCCAGGUCUGCAUGGAAGGAUUAAGGCAGAGCCCCUCAAGUCAGGAAUGUGAAUCACAGAAUCAUUAAAUAGAA
Molecule: long non-coding RNA, 9157 nt
Organism: Parus major (Great Tit)
Lineage: Eukaryota; Metazoa; Chordata; Aves; Passeriformes; Paridae
Exons: 4
Source: RefSeq, a predicted model, not a curated record